This 101-nucleotide microRNA precursor is filed under the name Cricetulus griseus (Chinese hamster). RNAcentral describes it as "mir-692". The record is from RNAcentral. Lineage: Eukaryota; Metazoa; Chordata; Mammalia; Rodentia; Cricetidae.
AGGAGAUGAAGAGACCUCAUAGUCGUGCUUGAGUGUGAGCUCCUCAAAGAAAUGCUCACCCAGAGAUGGCUGGCAAACUCAGUUGCAUUAACUGUGUACCA